UACGUAGGGUGCAAGCGUUGUCCGGAAUUAUUGGGCGUAAAGAGCUCGUAGGCGGUUUGUCACGUCGGGUGUGAAAGCCCGGGGCUUAACCCCGGGUCUGCAUUCGAUACGGGCAGACUGGAGUGUGGUAGGGGAGAUCGGAAUUCCUGGUGUAGCGGUGAAAUGCGCAGAUAUCAGGAGGAACACCGGUGGCGAAGGCGGAUCUCUGGGCCAUUACUGACGCUGAGGAGCGAAAGCGUGGGGAGCAAACAGG
This 253-nucleotide ribosomal RNA is filed under the name uncultured bacterium. Its description in RNAcentral is "partial 16S ribosomal RNA". It matches the Rfam family "Bacterial small subunit ribosomal RNA", at positions 524 to 776 of the family's 1533-position model. The record is from RNAcentral.